RNAcentral lists this ribosomal RNA (468 nucleotides) under uncultured bacterium. RNAcentral's name for it is "partial 16S ribosomal RNA". It matches the Rfam family "Bacterial small subunit ribosomal RNA", at positions 28 to 507 of the family's 1533-position model. The record is from RNAcentral.
GAUGAACGCUGGCGGCGUGCCUAACACAUGCAAGUCGAACGGACAGACCCUGCUUUUGUGGGUUGCUCGAUUGGCGAACGGGUGAGUAACACGUGAGUAACCUGUCCUUGACUUUGGGAUAACUUCAGGAAACUCGGGCUAAUACCGGGUAGGAGCUCCUGCUGCAUGGUGGUGGUUGGAGAGUGUCGGCGGUUGGGGAUGGACUCGCGGCUUAUCAGCUUGUUGGUGGGGUAGUUGAUGACCAAGGGUUUGACGGGUAGCCGGCAUGAGAGGGUUACCGGCGACAUUGGGACUGAGAUACGGACCAGACUCCAACGGGAGGCAGCAGUGGGGAACAUUGCAGAACGGGCGGAAGCCUGAUGCAGCAACGCCGCGUGCGGGAUGACGGCCUUCGGGUUGUAAACCGCUUUCGCCUGUGACGAAGCGGGCGUGACGGUAAUGAGUAAAGAAGCACCGGCUAACUACGUG